GUCCUAUAUAAAAACAAAAUGAGAACUUGUGUAUUGGAACUGCUAUCAACACAGACGUGAAAAGUGGCUUUGACACACCCAAGACCUGCCACCCAAUAUGACUGCUGAAGAAGCAAAACAAGGCGACUACAUGGUCUGUGAAGAUCAUUUCAGGCUGAAAACCUGCAUUUCAAAGGUCAAAGAACACGUCUGACUCCAGGUGCUGUCCCCAUCCUUGUCAGGCAACAGGUCACCCCUGUUCAGAGGAAAAGAGCUGUCAACAUACCUAUGGACACCAAGGAGGAUCCAGAGGAGCAUGUAGGCACAUCAAGCAACCUGGAGCCACUGCUGCAAA
Engraulis encrasicolus (European anchovy) is the source of this 334-nucleotide long non-coding RNA. RefSeq lists it as uncharacterized. The record is from RefSeq and is a predicted model, not a curated record. Lineage: Eukaryota; Metazoa; Chordata; Actinopteri; Clupeiformes; Engraulidae. The transcript is spliced from 3 exons.